RNAcentral lists this transfer RNA (78 nucleotides) under Candidatus Daviesbacteria bacterium RIFCSPLOWO2_02_FULL_36_7. Its description in RNAcentral is "tRNA-Pro". It matches the Rfam family "tRNA". From Rfam's summary of the family: Transfer RNA (tRNA) molecules are approximately 80 nucleotides in length. Their secondary structure includes four short double-helical elements and three loops (D, anti-codon, and T loops). Lineage: Bacteria; Candidatus Daviesiibacteriota. The record is from RNAcentral.
CGGGGUGUAGCUCAGUGGCAGAGCGCUCGGUUCGGGACCGAGAGGAACUUAUCGCUGGUUCGAUUCCAGUCACCCCGA